CCUACGGGAGGCAGCAGUGAGGAAUAUUGGUCAAUGGCCGGAAGGCUGAACCAGCCAUGCCGCGUGAAGGGCAGGGCCCUAUGGGCGUUAAACUUCUUUUGUGCGGGAGCAAUAAUGGUCACGUGUGGCCAGACGAGAGUACCGUACGAAUACGCAUCGGCUAACGCCGUGCCAGCAGCCGAGGUAAUACGGGGGAUGCCAGCGUUGUCCGGAUUUACUGGGUGUAAAGGGCGUGUAGGCGGGUUGAAAAGUCAGAUGUGAAAUCCUGCGGCUUAACCGCAGAACUGCCUUUGAAACUGUUGAUCUUGAGUACUGGAGAGGCAGACGGAAUUCCUAGUGUAGCGGUGAAAUGCGUAGAUAUUAGGAGGAACACCAGUGGCGAAGGCGGUCUGCUGGACAGCAACUGACGGUGAGGCGCGAAAGCGUGGGGAGCAAACAGGAUUAGAUACCCGAGUAGUC
This 459-nucleotide ribosomal RNA is filed under the name uncultured bacterium. RNAcentral describes it as "partial 16S ribosomal RNA". It matches the Rfam family "Bacterial small subunit ribosomal RNA", at positions 338 to 795 of the family's 1533-position model. The record is from RNAcentral.